UAAGACGAACCGUGCGAACGUUGUUCGGAAUCACUGGGCUUAAAGGGCGCGUAGGCGGAUCAGCAAGUCCGGGUUGAAAUCCUUCGGCUUAACCGAAGAACUGGCUUGGAUACUGUUGAUCUCGAGGGAGGCAGGGGCAGUUGGAACUUCCGGUGGAGCGGUGAAAUGCGUUGAUAUCGGAAGGAACGCCGGUGGCGAAAGCGAACUGCUGGACCUCUACUGACGCUGAGGCGCGAAAGCCAGGGGAGCAAACGGGAUUAGAUACCCCGGUAGUCCUGGCCCUAAACGUUGGGUACUAGGUUGUGGACUAGACAUGGGUUCACAGCCGAAGCAAAAGUGCUAAGUACCCCGCCUGGGGAGUAUGGUCGCAAGGCUG
Molecule: ribosomal RNA, 376 nt
Filed under: uncultured bacterium
Lineage: Bacteria
Description: bacterial SSU rRNA
Rfam family: Bacterial small subunit ribosomal RNA
Source: RNAcentral